GCCUGCAUGAAGUCGGAAUCGCUAGUAAUCGCGGAUCAGCACGCCGCGGUGAAUACGUUCCCGGGCCUUGUACACACCGCCCGUCACACCACGGAAGUUGGGAGUACCCAAAGUAGGUUGCCUAACCGCAAGGAGGGCGCUUCCUAAGGUAAGACCGAUGACUGGGGCUAAGUCGUAACAAGGUAUC
Molecule: ribosomal RNA, 187 nt
Filed under: uncultured bacterium
Lineage: Bacteria
Description: partial 16S ribosomal RNA
Rfam family: Bacterial small subunit ribosomal RNA
Source: RNAcentral